Long non-coding RNA from Rhagoletis pomonella (apple maggot), 1235 nucleotides. RefSeq lists it as uncharacterized. The record is from RefSeq and is a predicted model, not a curated record. The transcript is spliced from 3 exons. Lineage: Eukaryota; Metazoa; Arthropoda; Insecta; Diptera; Tephritidae.
UUCACAUUACUUAGACAUUUUACAACAAAACAAAACGAAGAUAUGUUGAGGCAAAAAAGAAGACGCAGUUGGAAAAUGAAGUGAUUAGUACGAAGUAGCAGCGCAGGCACAUUUGGAAAAUUAUGCCGAUAAGCAAGAUAAAAUUUGGGGAAAAAUGUUAUUAAUCGAGUGGCCUUCUCAACGUGCUAAGUUACAAGUUAAGAUGACUGCCACCACAGCCGGUAGGAAGCCCGAAGCAAAGGGCAAACAACCUUCUACGAAGCUGCCUGCUGUCCCCGAGUCGUAGCUGAAGUUCAGCAAGAAGCAGGUCAGCAAACGUGCUACCCUGAUCAAUCGUAAACUAAAGCGCUCUGCUAUGAUUGCACUCCGCAAACGUGAACACUUGUUGCAUCUGAGAAAUAUCAAGCAAAAUAUCUCCGUGAUGGACGCCGUGAGAAUAAGUUGCGUCGCCUGGCAAAGAAACGCGGCUCAUUCUAAGUGCCUGCGGAAGACAAAUUGGCUUUUGUGAUCUGUAUCCGCGGUAUCAACAAAUUUGCAUCAAAAGUGCGACAGUUUGUUCCUUUUUCGCCACAUUAACCACGGUUUGUUCAUCAAAUUUAACCGUUAAUAUGCUACACAUUGCCGAAUCCUAUAUCACAUGGGGUUAUCCAAAUCUUUAAUCAGUUCGUGAAUUGAUCUACAAACGUGGAAUUGUCAAGCACAACCAUCAACGUGGCCCAAUCUGUGACAACUUUGUGAUCGAAUGCAAAUUGCACAAAGCGCACGAUAUUAAGUGCGUUGAUUAUUUAGCGCACGAAAUAUUCACUGUUGGAUCCCACUUCAAGAAAACAUCCAACUACCUGUGGCCAUUCAAGCUCAACACCAACCGGUGUUGGUUGGUGUGAACGUUGAGGUUGAUGAUUUCGGUAACCGUGAAGAUAAGAUCAACAAACUGCAUGCGCAAGAUGGUUUAAAGAAAUUUUUUGGUGUACUAGGUGGAGUAUUUUUAUUGCAAAAAUAUAUAAUAUAUAAAAAAAAGAAAAUGUUUUUUUUUGUAACUUUCUGAAAGUUUAUCCCACAAUUAUGUCAAAUGGAAGGCAGCUUAUAUUGACGAUUCCCUGAAUAAUGUCGCAAUUCCAUUGCCGUUUGUAAAGGCCAUUUCAAAAGGCUCCAUUCCACAAAUUUAAUUUGUUUUGGUUUUUCAGCUCAUUAACGAUGCACCCAGGAUUGCAUUUACCGUCUAUGAAAAUAUUUCA